RNA transcript from Trachemys scripta elegans, 3533 nucleotides. It is a transcript of the gene named potassium voltage-gated channel modifier subfamily V member 2, with no coding region annotated. The transcript is spliced from 2 exons. The record is from RefSeq and is a predicted model, not a curated record. NCBI's taxonomy places the organism in Eukaryota, Metazoa, Chordata, Testudines, Emydidae.
UGGACUAGAUGACCUCAUGAAGUCCCUUCCAACCCUGAUAUUCUAUGAUUUUUUCCCUGUGGGGUGCUCCAACCCUGGCACCUAUGGUCUACUAGGAAUAAGAAAUUGUCACCGAUCAGGGAUAAGCCAGGUCACAGAUAUCAGACUUCCUCACGUUUUCUAGGUCUCAAUGAAGUCUUGGUUAGGUACAAAAUGAUAUUUUCAGAAAAUUUGAACUCUUAAUUUGAAUGCUUUUCUCUCUUGUAAGCAAUGAGGCUUGGGUUUAAUUGGGCUGAGUGGUCAUUUUUAAGUAUAGGAAGAUUCCAGAAGAGGAAGAGAUUUUUGGAAUGGAGGAUGCUAAUUUUAUUUUGGUUUAUCUUCACAUGGAAUUAAACCAUAGAACUUAUCUUGAACUUUCAAUUUAAGAUUUCAUAUCAUGUAUUGUGCAACUCAAUGUCUUUGUGAUUAUAAUCUUGCAAAUAGCACUGAAACCACCACAGGGAUAUUUAUUUUUCCCGGGUAAUGGUAUUCUGUUUGCUUUCCAGACUAGAUUGUGACUUGAACUACAUGCCUGCACAAGGAGGCCUAUUUGGCACAGAUAGCUGAGCAGCAGCUGUAUAUAUUCAAGCUCCCGCAGGAAGAGGCCAAUAGAAGCAGCAGAGAGCAAGAGAAGAAGCAAGGUACCAGGGCCAGGAGGCUGUCUGCUGGAAUAGGACUGUGUUACACCUGUGAGCAACAGCGACCCUUGAGAAGGGAGUGCCCCCAGCCAGGAUGGAGGACAGAAGCCUCACCCAGAGAAUGGGAAGAAGAGAAAGCCCAAGAGAGUCUGACUUGUGAAGAGAACAGGGAAGGGAUGAGCAUGUUGGGCCUGUGGGCAACAGGGACAUCUGCAGAGAGAAUGCUCAUACAUGAGUUAUGUUGUCAAGGCAUGCCCAGGGGAAGGGGCUGAGCAAGAGAAGAACAAUGGGAGGCCCCAAGACAAGGCAGAGAGAUUGCUUAUGGUGCCAGGGGGAUGUCCAUAUAAAGAGGCAUUGCCCCCUUAGGAGAAGGCGAGAUAGAAAAGGGGAAGACGGACCCUAGUGAAAGAGAAAACAAGGAAAGCGUAUCUGCUCUGUUUUCUGACAGUCUGCUCAGGGGCAGGUACUCAGUCGUGAGCCCCUCUAGAUAGUGUGACAGGGACCAUUUUGAAAAGGGCCUAGGACUGUCUUUUGCUUUCCAGUUUCUCCAGCAGUUCUUCUCCUCUUGCCAUUCCAGCAACAUCUCUUCAGUACUUUGGUGAACGAGUUGUUAUGUAGUUCGGUUAUGUGCUGCAAGAGGGAGACAGAACCAUACGGUGUCUCAUGACAGAAUGCUCCUUUGAGAAUAUUUCAUCUUGGAUGUUGAUUCUGUAGUACCGGUAGUAAUUGACAUGGCACGCUGACUUUGCAAGACACUGUGAUUCAUUUUUCUGGACUGUUGAGUGGCUUAAAUUCUACAUAUAUGCAGAUAUUAUAUUUAACCAUACACAUGUUUUUGUGCAUCUUGGGAGCAAUUGCUGCAGUUGGUAAAUUGUGCACACAGGACAAGGUACAGAACAAAACAAGUUAAGGAACUGGUACAAACUGGUGGGUUGGAUUUUAGUGAUGUGUAAAGAGUUUUUUAACUUGUAAAAUCAUACAAUGAAUGCUACUGGCUGAAAUGCGUAUCUUUGAAGCACACCUAUUGCGUAAAACAAACAUGCUGCGACAACUUGCGUCCCGGAAGGGGGGGCCAUACCGGUCUCCUUUUCAUAUUGUACUGCUUUGUCUUUAGAUAAUAAACUUGGUUAUUUGAUCUCUUGAACAUUUUGAAGAAUGAACCACAGGUGCAGUCAAACAAUCGGCUCUGCAUUUGAGACAAUAUUAUGCCUUGUACUUUUUGAGCUAUGAAAUUUCCAGUAUUUCAUUGGGAAUUCUAAUACACAGCUAUCUCAAAUGUAGCCGUACAUAUACUCACUACUUAACACAUUGCUUACAGACAGGGAAAUUGUGAGGUCUCUCUCCUUAAACAUCUCACAAUAUUCAUUCAGGCAAGAAGUGAGACUCUGUCUGGUCUCAUCAACAUACUAAAUAUUACACUCAUCACACUGUGCACAGCGUAUAACUCCAGGGUGAUUAAUUACCUAAAGUACUUCAGCUCUCAGAAACACAGUAAUCCAUUAAUAUAAUUUAACUUUACAGCCAACACUGCAAAUUAAAAUACAGAAACAAAUCCAUUUUUUUCAGUUCAUUAGAUAGGGCACAAACUAUCCUGUGAGCAGGCCUGAUAGCUGGAACUUCCCUUCAGGGCGUUACUUAUGAAAACUGACAAGUGUAACAUUUCCAUCCAGCACAGUGCUGAGUUUCCGUCAGCAAAUCCCAAACCCUUACAUGCUUCCAAAUUGCUUAGAGGAAGAUUCCCCUUUCUGUGGAUCUCAUUAGGAGCCCUUUUCCCCAUAAAACGUAUCUGGGCUAUGACAUUACAGGCUCUCCACUGAGAAUCCUCAGAAAGCCCUCAGGCAUGGCUUGUUGGCAGGAGGCCAGAUACAACUGAUUAAAAAUAAAAAUUCCAAUGUCUUGCCAGCUAGAUGGACGUGCUGUGCUGGCGCUCACUAGAGUGUAGGGAGAAAGGGGAACCCUUAGCUGAACUGACACUUUAUGCCAUAGAAAGCCACUAUCAAGUUAACCCAUCUAUCUUUUUCUGCACCCAGUCACCCUGGUAUCUUGUCCCAACAGAAACCUCUCUUUAUGUAUUAUCUACAUAUAUAGCGCCAUCUUUCACCUCCAGGGCCAGAUCAUGCUUGCAUUGUCCAUCCAAAUACAGUAGUCCCAAUGGCUUCAACUGGGCUACUUCUGUGACUUAAAUGAGCAGGAUUUGGCCCAUAAUAAUGAUACAUGAAGAAUCAAAUCCUGAGGGUCUUUACUUUAUUUUUACUUGGGCAAAACUUCCAGGGGAUUUUGCCUGAGAAAAAAAUAAAAGGAAUUUGCUUUGUAAUUAUUUAUCUUAUCUGUUAUGCAAACUAUUAUACAUAUAUAAUAUGCACAUAUAAUGCCUCAAUUCUGAUUUAAAUAUGGGAUGUAAAUAUAUUGGUCUAGAAUCUCAACUGAUGUAAAUGUUGUAACUCCAAUGAAGUCCAUGCAAUUUUUAUAACAUAUAAUAGCAUAAUGAUGUAGACUAGUUUAAAUGAGAGGAGAAUCAAGCCUGAAACAUACUAAGUACUGUUGUUGCAAUGAGGGAGACGUGUUAGAAAAUAAUAUGUAUCUUCAAUUAUGCCUGUAUAAAUUAGACUACAGUCAAGUAAACAGUAUUAAUUUUAAGCUUCUGCAGUUACUAAUAGACUAUAACAUCUCUCGAGAAAUCAUUACCAUUUAGUCUGUAAGUGUUCAUGCCUUCGUGGAAUGGAUAUUUAUUUGCUCUUACUGCAUUUUCUGAAAAGAUAGCUGUGAAAAAAGGAAAUGGAAGUAAAUAAAUUCCUAACUUAAACUGACAUUGCCAGGGCAAUUUAAGAUCAAAACUUCGCUUUUACAAAAGCAUAGUUUUAAAAAAAUCUAAGUCAA